RNAcentral lists this ribosomal RNA (468 nucleotides) under uncultured bacterium. RNAcentral describes it as "partial 16S ribosomal RNA". It matches the Rfam family "Bacterial small subunit ribosomal RNA", at positions 28 to 507 of the family's 1533-position model. The record is from RNAcentral.
GACGAACGCUGGCGGCGUGCUUAACACAUGCAAGUCGAACGGAAAGGCCCUGCUUUUGUGGGGUGCUCGAGUGGCGAAAGGGUGAGUAACACGUGAGUAACCUGCCCUUGACUGUGGGAUAACUUCAGGGAACUGGGGCUAAUACCGGAUAUGAGCACCUGCUGCAUGGUGGGGGUGGGAAAGUUUCGGCGGUUGGGGAUGGACUCGCGGCUUAUCAGCUUGUUGGUGGGGUAGUGGCUUACCAAGGCUUUGACGGGUAGCCGGCCUGAGAGGGUGACCGGCCCCAUUGGGACUGAGAUGCGGCCCAGACUGCUACGGGGGGCAGCAGUGGAGGAUAUUGCACAAUGGGCGGAAGCCUGAUGCAGCAACGCCGCGUGCGGGAUGACGGCCUUCGGGUUGUAAACCGCUUUCGCCUGUGACGAAGCGUGAGUGACGGUAAUGGGUAAAGAAGCACCGGCUAACUACGUG